RNAcentral lists this non-coding RNA (84 nucleotides) under Sporomusa malonica. RNAcentral's name for it is "c-di-GMP-II sequence". It matches the Rfam family "Cyclic di-GMP-II riboswitch aptamer". The record is from Rfam by way of RNAcentral. Lineage: Bacteria; Bacillati; Bacillota; Negativicutes; Selenomonadales; Sporomusaceae.
AAAUAAAUAGGAUGUUAUGAAGGUGUAUCUGUAUGUGGACACUUGGAUAUACUGGAGCAAGUAGUGUAACCGGCCUUUUCUAAG